Molecule: non-coding RNA, 1235 nt
Organism: Pongo pygmaeus (Bornean orangutan)
Lineage: Eukaryota; Metazoa; Chordata; Mammalia; Primates; Hominidae
Source: the annotation of a RefSeq genome assembly
GCAGAGCAGAGGCCACUGAGGAGCUGAGGUUCCGGAGAGGCUUCCAGAGCAGGAGCAGUGCAGGGACGGGAGGAUCCGGGAGCUCAUCCAGGAGGGGCACAUGGGCAAGGCCUCCACCAAGGGCCCAUCGGUCUUCCCCCUGGCGCCCUCCUCCAGGAGCACCUCUGGGGGCACAGCGGCCCUGGGCUGCCUGGUCAAGGACUACUUCCCCGAACCGGUGACCGUGUCGUGGAACUCAGGCGCCCUGACCAGCGGUGUGCACACCUUCCCGGCUGUCCUACAGUCCUCAGGGCUCUACUCCCUCAGCAGCGUGGUGACCGUGCCCUCCAGCAGCUUGGGCACCCAGACCUACAUCUGCAACGUAGAUCACAAGCCCAGCAACACCAAGGUGGACAAGAAAGUUGAGCCCAAAUCUUGUGACACACCUCGCCCGUGCCCACCGUGCCCAGCACCGGAACUCCUGGGGGGACCAUCAGUCUUCCUCUUCCCCCCAAAACCCAAGGACACCCUCAUGAUCUCCCGGACCCCUGAGGUCACGUGCGUGGUGGUGGACGUGAGCCACGAAGACCCUGAGGUCAAGUUCAACUGGUACGUGGACGGCGUGGAGGUGCACAAUGCCAAGACAAAGCCGCGGGAGGAGCAGUUCAACAGCACGUACCGUGUGGUCAGCGUCCUCACCGUCGUGCACCAGGACUGGCUGAACGGCAAGGAGUACAAGUGCAAGGUCUCCAACAAAGCCCUCCCAGCCCCCAUCGAGAAAACCAUCUCCAAAGCCAAAGGGCAGCCCCGAGAGCCGCAGGUGUACACCCUGCCCCCAUCCCGGGAGGAGCUGACCAAGAACCAGGUCAGCCUGACCUGCCUGGUCAAAGGCUUCUACCCCAGCGACAUCGCCGUGGAGUGGGAGAGCGGCGGGCAGCCGGAGAACAACUACAAGACCACGCCUCCCGUGCUGGACUCCGACGGCACCUUCUUCCUCUACAGCAAGCUCACCGUGGACAAGAGCAGGUGGCAGCAGGGGAACGUCUUCUCAUGCUCCGUGAUGCAUGAGGCUCUGCACAACCACUACACGCAGAAGAGCCUCUCCCUGUCUCCGGGUAAAUGAGUACGACGGCCGGCAAGCCCCCCCUCCCCGGGCUCUCGGGGUCGCGCGAGGAUGCUUGGCACGCACCCCAUGUACACACUUCCCGGGUGCUCAGCAUGGAAAUAAAGCACCCAGCGCUGCCCUGGGCCCCUGA